UUGGAAGCUCAAACACGUGUGAAUCCAGCUGAAUUUGAAUUUGCCAUUAAACCUUCAAGCUUCAAGUAUGCAAGAUUUUGAGCAGAAAUCCACAAGAUGCACGUUCAAUCUUACUUAAAAACACUCCAUGAUCAUGAAUUCACCAAGAGAAAUGAGGUUUAUGUGAAGAAUUUGGAAAAUCUUUUUGAGAGAAAAUUUUGAAAAAUUUCUAGAUCUAGAUCUGAAAAUGUGUGUUAUGAGCAAUGCAGUUGUGAUUAAG
This 259-nucleotide long non-coding RNA is filed under the name Lathyrus oleraceus (garden pea). RNAcentral describes it as "Pisum sativum (pea) long non-coding RNA (PSAT_LNC029667)". The record is from RNAcentral. Lineage: Eukaryota; Viridiplantae; Streptophyta; Magnoliopsida; Fabales; Fabaceae.